AAACAGCAGUCGCCGCGGUAAUACGAAGGGGGCUAGCGUUACUCGGAAUUACUGGGCGUAAAGGGCGCGUAGGCGGCGCUCCAAGUUAGGCGUGAAAGUCCUGGGCUCAACCUGGGAACUGCGCUUAAGACUGGAGUGCUUGAGGAUGGAAGAGGGUUGUGGAAUUCCCAGUGUAGAGGUGAAAUUCGUAGAUAUUGGGAAGAACACCGGUGGCGAAGGCGGCAACCUGGUCCAUUACUGACGCUGAGGCGCGACAGCGUGGGGAGCAAACAGGAUUAGAUACCCCCGUAGUCCCUGUCUCUUAUAC
This 307-nucleotide ribosomal RNA is filed under the name uncultured bacterium. RNAcentral describes it as "partial 16S ribosomal RNA". It matches the Rfam family "Bacterial small subunit ribosomal RNA", at positions 506 to 807 of the family's 1533-position model. The record is from RNAcentral.